UUUGUAAACAUACAGCUGCACAGAAUGUGAGCACAGCCCAUUCAAGGCCAGAAGAAAUGAGCACAAAUAAAUAUUAAGAAGAAUACAGGACAAUCGCUCAGAUAAACUAUGAGGAAAUGGCAGCUGAUGGAUCGAAACUUAAAGCGGGAACUCCACCCUGGCCGCAGUCUAAUUUCUAGCGGAAGAUUUAGAGGGGAACGAUUUUAAGAUCCAUUUCUUACUGAGCUACCUAAAUGCAAGGCGAUCCGUUGCUGUUUCCUGUGUAAAGACAUGUUUAUUUCCUUUCAACAGCAUCUUCAAAAAACAAGAAGGAGUCUGUUUGGCAACUUCCUUCCAAUAGCACCUGACUAUAACCUUGUCAUAUGCAACAUCUAUUCAGUGGAAACCAUGCUUUACCUGUUAGUCAGGUCCUGCGAUCCCAUCCUCUGUCAGCAGCCGAUCAUCAAUACACUGUCUUCUUGCAUUGGAAUUGGAAUUUCGGCUGGAGUAUGUUCCAUUGUUUAUGGGAAUAAUCAGGAAUCUUGAACACUGGGCUGUUUCUUAUGUUGCAUACUCAUGAAAGUCUAGGAGAAUCGGAGUUGAUUUCUGAGUGUUGG
Molecule: long non-coding RNA, 596 nt
Organism: Hypanus sabinus (Atlantic stingray)
Lineage: Eukaryota; Metazoa; Chordata; Chondrichthyes; Myliobatiformes; Dasyatidae
Exons: 6
Source: RefSeq, a predicted model, not a curated record